GUGGGGAAUCUUGCGCAAUGCGCGAAAGCGUGACGCAGCAACGCCGCGUGGGGGAAGAAGGCCUUCGGGUUGUAAACCCCUUUCAGUUGGGACGAAGCUCCGUCGGUGAAUAGCCGGCUGGAGUGACGGUACCUUCACAAGAAGCCCCGGCUAACUACGUGCCAGCAGCCGCGGUAAUACGUAGGGGGCUAGCGUUGUCCGGAAUCAUUGGGCGUAAAGCGCGUGUAGGCGGUUCGGUAAGUCUGCUGUGAAAGUCGGGGGCUCAACCCUCGAAAGCCGGUGGAUACUGUCGGACUAGAGUGCGGAAGAGGCGAGUGGAAUUCCUGGUGUAGCGGUGAAAUGCGCAGAUAUCAGGAGGAACACCAAUUGCGAAGGCAGCUCGCUGGGACGUUACUGACGCUGAGACGCGAAAGCGUGGGGAGCAAACAGGAUUAGAAACCCUUGUAGUCC
This 450-nucleotide ribosomal RNA is filed under the name uncultured bacterium. Its description in RNAcentral is "bacterial SSU rRNA". It matches the Rfam family "Bacterial small subunit ribosomal RNA", at positions 354 to 796 of the family's 1533-position model. The record is from RNAcentral.